RNAcentral lists this ribosomal RNA (275 nucleotides) under uncultured bacterium. Its description in RNAcentral is "partial 16S ribosomal RNA". It matches the Rfam family "Bacterial small subunit ribosomal RNA", at positions 338 to 630 of the family's 1533-position model. The record is from RNAcentral.
CCUACGGGUGGCUGCAGCAAGGAAUUUUGCGCAAUGGGCGAAAGCCUGACGCAGCAACGCCGCGUGGGGGAUGACGGCCCUCGGGUUGUAAACCCCUUUUCUCAGGGAAGAUGAUGACGGUACCUGAGGAAUAAGUCUCGGCUAACUACGUGCCAGCAGCCGCGGUAAUACGUAGGAGGCAAGCGUUGUCCGGAUUUACUGGGCGUAAAGGGCUCGCAGGCGGUCCGUUAAGUCUGACGUGAAAUCUCCCGGCUCAACUGGGAGGGUGCAUUGGA